This is a non-coding RNA of Parelaphostrongylus tenuis, 73 nucleotides long. The record is from the annotation of a GenBank genome assembly. Lineage: Eukaryota; Metazoa; Nematoda; Chromadorea; Rhabditida; Metastrongylidae.
GACCUAAGUGGUGUAGUGGUAGCACGCACCUUCGGUAUGGGUGAAACGUGGGUUCAACUCCCGUCCGAGGUCG